Molecule: long non-coding RNA, 4274 nt
Filed under: Sus scrofa (pig)
Lineage: Eukaryota; Metazoa; Chordata; Mammalia; Artiodactyla; Suidae
Description: lncRNA (ENSSSCG00005012436.1)
Source: RNAcentral
UUUUCUAGGGCCACGUCCGCGGCACAUGGAGGUUCCCAGGCUAGGGGUUGAAUCGGAGCUGUAGCCACUGGUCUACGCCAGAGCCACAGCAACGCAGGCUCUGAGCCUCAUCUGCAACCUACACCACAGCUCAUGGCAACACCGGAUCCUUAACCCACUGAGCGAGGCCAGGGAUCGAACCCGAAACCUCAGCGUUCCUAGUCGGAUUCGUUAACCACUGAGCCCCGAUGGGAACUCCAUCCCUUGUAAUUUUGAAAAGUGUCUCCUAUAUUUACAGGUCAUCUCUAUUUCAUCUGGGACUUUCUGUACACGGCAUUUGCUUACGAGAGUGGAGUUCUUUAAACUCAUUGAUAAGAAGUCUUACACAUUAAGGAUAGUAACUCUGUUGUAGCUGCUCUCAACUUUUUUCUAGUUAAUCAUUCCGUUAGAAUUUUAAUUAUGAUCUGUGACAGAGCUUCAGUUAGUAUGUGGUAAAAUUUAUAGGUUAUUUCCAUUGUUCAUUCUCUGCACUUUCAGCCCAAGCAUGAAGUUUCCACAGUUCCUUCUGCUUCCAUAUUUCCUUCUGUUUAUUUUACAAUUUUAUUUUUUUACAUGAAACUCUUACUCUGCUUGGAGUUUAUCUUGGCAUGAAGUGGUGAGGUGAAAUCUCACCUGACUAUUUUCCCCAAUACUCACCUGGUGUCUCAUUCUGUUUCCUGUCUUCGGAUGCCUCCUUAUCAUAUGCCCACUUCCUAAACUUACCAGGGCUUGUUCCUGGCCAGACAAGUGUGGGAACACAGCAGGGAGGCCGAUUUGGCCAAGGUCAGAGACCGAGCUAGGGAACAGCACAGACGGGGUCUCGGCCCCUCAGCCUAAGUCCACACACCUUUUCCUAGACCCCAAUCGCCCUAAAGCAAUGUUCAUUUUCUGAAGCCCUCAUCUAAAGGUUUUGAGGACAUAACUAGAUCAAUGAACUGACAAAAAAACUGGUUUAGAUUCAGGGAAAGCAAUUGAAUGUGCUCCCCAAAUCUCAUCAUCAAGAGAACCGGGUUUCUGCUCUGGGCAGGGGAAGGUUCUUGGAAAGACCUGAGUGUGUAUUUUGGAAACCAGCAGAGAGACACACCAGACUGGUGUGAGGGCGCAUCUGUAAAGGUUUCUCUAGAGACCAGCUUCUUUUUUUUUUUAGGACUGCACCCUCACAUAUGGAAGUUCCCAGGCUGGGGUCCAAUCGGAGCUACAGCUGCCAGCCUACACCACAACCACAGCAACACUGGAUCUGAGCUGUGUCUGCGACCUACACCACAGCAGCAACGCCGGAUCCUUAACCCACUGAGUGAGGCCAGGGAUCGGACCUGCAUGAUAGCAGUGGGAUUGUUUCUGCUGCACCACAACAGGAACUCCCCGGUAGGCUUCAUAAGAAGCUGGCCAUAUAGAUGGGUUUUCUUUAACCCUGGGGUUCUUGUCCAUGGGCUUGAUGGAGUCUGUGAGGUCCAUGAAAUUAUAUGCGAGUGUAUGUGUCUGUGGUGCUUUUUUUCUGGGAAGAGGAUUGUUAGAACCUCCAUUGAAAUCCAUGAGUAGUGAGGUUCCUAAAGAGGGUGCUAUGAUUCAAAGACUAUGAUUAAGUCCAUUGCCCUGUGACCUGCUGACCACUUGAGAAGUUCUGUGAACAUAUCACCACGUGUGCUCCACUUAAAUUCCUGUCACCAUUUCUCGACUUUCUCUUCCAAUUCUUUUCUCAGCCUAAGUGCCCUGCAAUUGUUUCCUUCAUAUGGCAGGACUACUGCAAGUUCAGCACGCUGCCUUUAAGAUCACCUGCCAGUCUUAAGACGAAGACACAGAAGAGAGGCUCAUCAGACUUACUAAAAGGCGUGCGGCUCAAAAAAGACGGGAAAAGUCCUUGCUGAUUUCCACUGGGAACCAUUCGGAUUGGGACAUAUGCAUUUGAGCAGGAUGUGAGCAUUCCUUAUCUCUGUGUCUGAAAUGCCCAAGAGGGUUACAUCCCAUGCACCUCACACAGUACAGCUAUAAACAAUUAAACAGCUACACAUUAUCUUGGAGAGUCUAACCAAUUGAAUAUGGCAAGAAAAAGAAAUCAUUGAAAUAAAUAAUAGCAAAAGGAGAACAAGAAACAUAACACAGCAACUAUCACAUACACAGAAAAGUCAAAGAAGUAACAAAAUUACCAAUUGUAGCUAAAGAAGUUGUAAAGAAAACAAGCAUAAACAAACAUGAAUUAUCACCCAUGUUUAUCAAUUACCAUAAUUAGGCACUAUUCUCAACAAGAACAACAGCAGCAAAAUAUUUAGGAAGCACAUAAAAGCUUUGUGUCAAUAAAGAGAUGGGCCAUGCUCAAGCUGCAAAGAUGUCAAUUCUACCCACGGUCUAGUUCGCAGGUUUCGUAGACCAUAAUUCCUCACUUUUAGCUAUUUUUGUAUCCUGAGGUCCUAGCCUAUAGAAGGCACCCAUUAUUAUGAUUUGGAUAAGUGAGCUCUGAAUCAAAAUCCUAAAUGAAUUUUUCCAGGAACUGGGAGUGAUGCCAACCUUCAUUUUUAGACAGAAACAGGGAAGAACUAAAAAAGAAGAGCUGAAGGAAACCAGAUCUACCAGAUUUAAACAUGUUAUAGAUCAACAGUUAAUAAAACAGUGCAGUAUUGGUAUGUACACACCAAAGCCGUAAACCAAUAGAAGAAAAAAACGCAACCAAGAAAAGUGGAUGUAAGAAUCAUAUGUUUAUGCACCUCUAUGGUCACAGCAGCACCAUUCACAACAGUCAAGACAUGGAAGCGAACUAGAUGUCUGUCACCAGAAGAAUGGGUAAAGGUGUGGUUGUAUAUACAAUGGAAUAUUAUUCAGCCCUUAAAAAGAACAAGAUAAUGCCAUUUGCAUCAACAAGGAUAGAACUAGAGAUUAUCACAAGUGAAGUCAGUCAGAAAAACAAAUACUAUAUGACAUCACUUAUAUGUAGAAUCUAAACGAUGACAUAAAUGAACUUAUCUACGAAAUAGACUCAUAGACAUAGAGAACAGACUUGUGGUUGCCAAGGGAGGGGUAGAGAGGGAUGGAUUGGGAGUCUGGGAUUAGAGAUGCAAAAUACUACAGACAGGAUGUCCCACUGUAGAGCACAGGGAACUAUUUAAUAUCUUGCGAUAAAACCAUAAUGGAAGAGUAUGAUACAGGUUAUAUAUAAGUGUAUACACACACACACACACACACACACACAUCUGAGUCACUUUGCUGUACAGCAGAAAUUAACACAUUGUAAGUCAACUACAAUAAAUUUUUUUAAAAGACUUACGUGUUUAAAAAAAGAGCAGCAUCAUAAAACAAUGGAUAAGUGAAGAAUCAUUGUAUAACCUAUUACAGUAAAUAACAUCUAACCAUACAUCUCUUUUCGUCACCUCAAACAUUACAGUGUUAAGUAUGUUUUCAAGUCAAUCUCCAAGGCCCUUGUCUUCGUCUGGCUGCCAUCACCUCUGUCACCUUGUCACUGUUUCCUAGCUAGUCUCCUUUCGCUUUCGCCUCUUUCCUUUCUUCCACAGUCCUAACUCCACCUGCUGCCAAAGUUGUCUUCCUAAAGCACCCACUUAAUUUUCUCAACCUUCUACACAUGAGGACGUCUCAGGUUCCACCGCAGUGGUCUUCAAACCAUGAUCCCCUUGAAAGUGGGACAGAGGCCUCUCCGAGGAUGGUCUUCCACAGUUGAGAACCAAAACCAAUCAAUACUGCCUGACUCCUAGAGUUCCCGCUGCAGCGCAGUGUGUUAAGAGUCAGACUGCUGUGGUUCUGGGCAGCUGCAGAGGUGCAGGUUCAAUCCCCAGCCUGGUGAGUGGAUUAAGGAUUCGGCACUGCUGCAGCUGUGGAGUCGGUCGAAACUGCGGCUUGGAUUCAAUCCCUGGCCUGGGAACUUCCAUAUGCUGUGCGCGAAGCCAUAAACUAAAAACAAAAAUAAAAAUACUGCCUGACUCCAAAAAGUUGGUGUUUAUGGUGCUGGGUGGUCAUGUAUUUGAAUCCUGCCAUCAUGGGGUCGUUUGGGGAAUACUAUUAAUCCUAGCACGUUCAAAAAUGCAAAAGCAGUGAGAGUACCAAAGGGGUUGUAAGAGAGGAUGAACAAAUAUAAUGAAAAUUAGAGAAGCUAAGAGUUACACUGGGAGAAAUGAUGCCUCCACAGACUUUCGACAUACAAAAACAUUGUCCAUUCGGGGAAAAGAUGGCCAUCCACUUUACACCAGGCAAAGAAAAUUAAGUAUGCUCGCUUUAAGGUGUUUUAUAGCUUCGAAGAAUCAACUUACUCCUCC